AAACAAGAUACAGGCCCACAGCCCUUGGGCAAGCAGCCAUAUCCUCAAAAUAUUUGUUCUAAGCACCCAGGCCUUCCAUGAAGGUCACACAGUCAGGACCAAUGGUUUUACCAUCAGCACAUUCCCUAGCCCCAGUAUCCGAGUUGAGAUGCGAUUUAUUUGUGGAUUUGUAGACUGCCUGUUGCGCAUUUACCUGAGAGCCUAAAAGAAUGUCUAGUGUCUUGUGAGCUGUCGUCAUGGAAAUCAAAAAAAACAAUUAAAAAGAAUGUCCAGUGUCCUGAGGCCUUAGCGAAUCAAUCUCAAUACCG
Molecule: long non-coding RNA, 308 nt
Filed under: Homo sapiens (human)
Lineage: Eukaryota; Metazoa; Chordata; Mammalia; Primates; Hominidae
Description: LHRI_LNC58.1
Source: RNAcentral